GACGAACGCUGGCGGCGUGCUUAACACAUACAAGUCGAACGAUGAAGGAGAGCUUGCUCUCCGGAUUAGUGGCGAACGGGUGAGUAACACGUGACUAACCUGCCCCUUUCUCUGGGAUAACGCUCCGAAAGGAGUGCUAAUACCGGAUACGAACUCUGAACACAUGUUCGGAGUUGGAAAGUUUUUCGGAAAGGGAUGGAGUCGCGGCCUAUCAGCUUGUUGGUGAGGUAACGGCUCACCAAGGCGACGACGGGUAGCCGGCCUGAGAGGGCGACCGGCCACACUGGGACUGAGACACGGCCCAGACUCCUACGGGAGGCAGCAGUGGGGAAUAUUGCACAAUGGGCGAAAGCCUGAUGCAGCGACGCCGCGUGAGGGAUGAAGGUCUUCGGAUUGUAAACCUCUUUCAGUAGGGACGAAGCGAAAGUGACGGUACCUAAAGAAGAAGCACCGGCUAACUACGUGCCAGCAGCCGCGGUAA
RNAcentral lists this ribosomal RNA (481 nucleotides) under uncultured bacterium. Its description in RNAcentral is "partial 16S ribosomal RNA". It matches the Rfam family "Bacterial small subunit ribosomal RNA", at positions 28 to 523 of the family's 1533-position model. The record is from RNAcentral.